Molecule: ribosomal RNA, 469 nt
Filed under: uncultured Acidimicrobiales bacterium
Lineage: Bacteria; Bacillati; Actinomycetota; Acidimicrobiia; Acidimicrobiales
Description: bacterial SSU rRNA
Rfam family: Bacterial small subunit ribosomal RNA
Source: RNAcentral
GACGAACGUUGGCGGUGCGCUUAAUGCAUGCAAGUCGAGCGAAAAGCAGUCGUUCCGUAAGGUUCGACUGUGGACAGCGGCGAACGGGUGCGUAACACGUGAGAAACCUGCCCCCCAGACCGGGAUAGCCCAGGGAAACCUGGAUUAAUACCGGAUACUCUCCUCGGACCGCAUGGUCUGUUGAGGAAACAGUCCGCUGCUGGGGGAUGGUCUCGCGGCCUAUCAGGUAGUUGGUGAGGUAACGGCUCACCAAGCCGAAGACGGGUAGCUGGUCUGAGAGGACGAUCAGCCACACUGGAACUGAGACACGGUCCAGACUCCUACGGGAGGCAGCAGCAGGGAAUAUUGCACAAUGGGCGAAAGCCUGAUGCAGCGACACCGCGUGCGGGAUGAAGGCCUUCGGGUUGUAAACCGCUUUCAGGAGGGAAGAAAAUGACGGUACCUCCAGAAGAAGCUCCGGCCAACUACG